GACGAACGCUGGCGGCGUGCCUAAUACAUGCAAGUUGAGCGCUGAAGGUUGGUACUUGUACCGACUGGAUGAGCAGCGAACCGGUGAGUAACGCGUGGGGAAUCUGCCUUUGAGCGGGGGACAACAUUUGGAAACGAAUGCUAAUACCGCAUAAAAACUUUAAGCACAAGUUUUAAGUUUGAAAGAUGCAAUUGCAUCACUCAAAGAUGAUCCCGCGUUGUAUUAGCUAGUUGGUGAGGUAAAGGCUCACCAAGGCGAUGAUACAUAGCCGACCUGAGAGGGUGAUCGGCCACAUUGGGACUGAGACACGGCCCAAACUCCUACGGGAGGCAGCAGUAGGGAAUCUUCGGCAAUAGACGAAAGUCUGACCGAGCAACGCCGCGUGAGUGAAGAAGGUUUUCGGAUCGUAAAACUCUGUUGGUAGAGAAGAACGUUGGUGAGAGUGGAAAGCUCAUCAAGUGACGGUAACUACCCAGAAAGGGACGGCUAACUACGUG
Molecule: ribosomal RNA, 497 nt
Filed under: uncultured bacterium
Lineage: Bacteria
Description: partial 16S ribosomal RNA
Rfam family: Bacterial small subunit ribosomal RNA
Source: RNAcentral